GUUUGGUGGUCUCCUCACACAGACGCAUGUAACAUUUGGUGCUGAAACCCAAGACAGGGGACUCCUUCAGAAGACCAGCCCCCUGUCCUCACCCUCAGUCCGGGAGGAGAUCCACCUACGACCUCGGGUCCUCAGACCAGCCCAAGGAACAUCUCACCAAUUUCAAAUUGGGACCCCACUGGAAGUCGGACCAUCCAACUUGGAUUACAGCUGCUCCUAGACCUACUGGAGCAAAAAGCUAAGGCUCCUGGCUGAUUCCUUCCCAGAUCUCCUCGGCUUAGUGGCUAAAGACUGACGCUGCCAAAUCAUCUCGGAAGCCCCCUGGACCAUCACGGAUGCCGAGCUUCGGAUAACUCCUACAGUGGAGGACAGGAAUGUCAGGCCUGUGAGCCCAAAGUAAGCCAUCAUAACCCCUGUGACCUGCAUGUAUACGUCCAGAUGGCCUGGAGCAACUGAAGAACCACAAAAGAAGUGAAACAGCCAGUUCCUGCCUUAACUGAUGACAUUCCACCAUUGUGAUUUGUUCCUGCCCCACCCUAACUAAUCAAUCGACCUUGUGACAUUCCUCCCCUGGACAAUGAGUCUCAUGAUCUCCCCACCCUGCACCUUGUGUCCCCCAUCCCUGCCUGUAAGAGAUAACCACCUUUAACUGUAAUUUUCCACUACCUACCCAAAUCCUAUAAAACUGCCCCACCCCUAUUUCCCUUUGCUGACUCCUUUUUCGGACUCAGCCCACCUGCACCCAAGUGAAUAAACAGCCUCAUUGCUCACACA
This 774-nucleotide long non-coding RNA is filed under the name Homo sapiens (human). Its description in RNAcentral is "HSALNT0342541". The record is from RNAcentral. Lineage: Eukaryota; Metazoa; Chordata; Mammalia; Primates; Hominidae.